RNAcentral lists this ribosomal RNA (1142 nucleotides) under Salmonella enterica subsp. enterica serovar Singapore. RNAcentral's name for it is "partial 23S ribosomal RNA". It matches the Rfam family "Bacterial large subunit ribosomal RNA", at positions 107 to 1190 of the family's 2925-position model. Lineage: Bacteria; Pseudomonadati; Pseudomonadota; Gammaproteobacteria; Enterobacterales; Enterobacteriaceae. The record is from RNAcentral.
GCGAUACCCGAAUGGGGAAACCCAGUGUGACUCGUCACACUAUCAUUAACUGAAUCCAUAGGUUAAUGAGGCGAACCGGGGGAACUGAAACAUCUAAGUACCCCGAGGAAAAGAAAUCAACCGAGAUUCCCCCAGUAGCGGCGAGCGAACGGGGAGGAGCCCAGAGCCUGAAUCAGCAUGUGUGUUAGUGGAAGCGUCUGGAAAGGCGCGCGAUACAGGGUGACAGCCCCGUACACAAAAGCGCAUGUGCUGUGAGCUCGAUGAGUAGGGCGGGACACGUGGUAUCCUGUCUGAAUAUGGGGGGACCAUCCUCCAAGGCUAAAUACUCCUGACUGACCGAUAGUGAACCAGUACCGUGAGGGAAAGGCGAAAAGAACCCCGGCGAGGGGAGUGAAAAAGAACCUGAAACCGUGUACGUACAAGCAGUGGGAGCCCCACCACUAAGCCAGUGGUGAACUCCACAUACGCAUCCUUUGCUGAGGAUACGGUUAACGGAGCGAAAGCGACGUUCAACCUCAAAAGAAGCAGAGGGGGCUUAGUGGUGGGGUGACUGCGUACCUUUUGUAUAAUGGGUCAGCGACUUAUAUUCUGUAGCAAGGUUAACCGAAUAGGGGAGCCGGAGGGAAACCGAGUCUUAAUUGGGCGUUAAGUUGCAGGGUAUAGACCCGAAACCCGGUGAUCUAGCCAUGGGCAGGUUGAAGGUUGGGUAACACUAACUGGAGGACCGAACCGACUAAUGUUGAAAAAUUAGCGGAUGACCUGUGGCUGGGGGUGAAAGGCCAAUCAAACCGGGAGAUAGCUGGUUCUCCCCGAAAGCUAUUUAGGUAGCGCCUCGUGAAUUCAUCUCCGGGGGUAGAGCACUGUUUCGGCUAGGGGGCCAUCCCGGCUUACCAACCCGAUGCAAACUGCGAAUACCGGAGAAUGUUAUCACGGGAGACACACGGCGGGUGCUAACGUCCGUCGUGAAGAGGGAAACAACCCAGACCGCCAGCUAAGGUCCCAAAGUCAUGGUUAAGUGGGAAACGAUGUGGGAAGGCCCAGACAGCCAGGAUGUUGGCUUAGAAGCAGCCAUCAUUUAAAGAAAGCGUAAUAGCUCACUGGUCGAGUCGGCCUGCGCGGAAGAUGUAACGGGGCUAAACCAU